Molecule: transfer RNA, 70 nt
Filed under: Mus musculus (house mouse)
Lineage: Eukaryota; Metazoa; Chordata; Mammalia; Rodentia; Muridae
Also listed under: 1 other name
Rfam family: tRNA
About the family: Transfer RNA (tRNA) molecules are approximately 80 nucleotides in length.
Source: Rfam by way of RNAcentral
GGAGAGGUGGCUCGGUGGUUAAGAGCACUUGUUUUUACAAAGGACCUGGGUUCGAUUCCCAGCAUCCACA